AACGAACACUGGCGGCGUGGUUUAGGCAUGCAAGUCGAACGUGAAAGUUUCCUUCGGGAAAUGAGUAGAGUGGCGGACGGGUGAGUAACGCGUAGGAAUCUAUCCUGUAGUGGGGGAUAACGUUUCGAAAGGAACGCUAAUACCGCAUACGCCCUACCGGGGAAAGGACGGGGAGUCUUCGGACCUCGUGCUAGAGGAGGAGGCCUGCGUCGGAUUAGCUAGUUGGUUGAGGUAAAGGACUCACCAAGGCGACGAUCCGUAGCUGGUCUGAGAGGAUGAUCAGCCACACCGGAACUGAGACACGGUCCGGACUCCUACGGGAGGCAGCAGUGGGGGAAUAUUGCGCAAUGGGCGAAAGCCUGACGCAGCCAUACCGCGUGUGUGAAGAAGGCCUCGGUUGUAAGACACUUCUAGUGGGAGGGAAAGGAACGUAGGUGG
Molecule: ribosomal RNA, 438 nt
Filed under: uncultured bacterium
Lineage: Bacteria
Description: bacterial SSU rRNA
Rfam family: Bacterial small subunit ribosomal RNA
Source: RNAcentral